RNAcentral lists this ribosomal RNA (1376 nucleotides) under uncultured bacterium. Its description in RNAcentral is "bacterial SSU rRNA". It matches the Rfam family "Bacterial small subunit ribosomal RNA", at positions 29 to 1397 of the family's 1533-position model. The record is from RNAcentral.
UUGAACGCUAGCGGUAUGCUUAACACAUGCAAGUCGAACGGAAACGAUACUAGCUUGCUAGUAGGCGUCGAGUGGCGGACGGGUGAGUAACGCGUAGGAAUCUGCCUGAUAGUGGGGGAUAGCCCGAAGAAAUUCGGAUUAAUACCGCAUAAUCUAUUCGUAGUAAAGUGGGGGACUUUCGAGCCUCACGCUAUCAGAUGAGCCUGCGUAAGAUUAGCUUGUUGGUGGGGUAAAAGCCCACCAAGGCGACGAUCUUUAGCUGGUCUGAGAGGAUGAUCAGCCACAUCGGGACUGAGACACGGCCCGAACUCCUACGGGAGGCAGCAGUGGGGAAUAUUGGACAAUGGGGGCAACCCUGAUCCAGCAAUACCGCGUGUGUGAAGAAGGCCUGAGGGUUGUAAAGCACUUUCAAUUGUGAAGAAAAGUUAGCGGUUAAUAACCGUUAGCCUUGACGUUAACUUUAGAAGAAGCACCGGCUAACUCCGUGCCAGCAGCCGCGGUAAUACGGAGGGUGCAAGCGUUAAUCGGAAUUACUGGGCGUAAAGCGUGCGUAGGCGGUUUAUUAAGUCAGAUGUGAAAGCCCCGGGCUUAACCUGGGAACUGCAUUUGAAACUGGUCAACUAGAGUAUGGUAGAGGAAAGUGGAAUUUCUGGUGUAGCGGUGAAAUGCGUAGAUAUCAGAAGGAACAUCAAUGGCGAAGGCAGCUUUCUGGACCAAUACUGACGCUGAGGUACGAAAGCGUGGGUAGCAAACAGGAUUAGAUACCCUGGUAGUCCACGCCGUAAACGAUGAUAACUAGCCGUUGGGGGGAUUUACCCUUUAGUGGCGAAGCUAACGCGUUAAGUUAUCCGCCUGGGGAGUACGGCCGCAAGGUUAAAACUCAAAGGAAUUGACGGGGACCCGCACAAGCGGUGGAGCAUGUGGUUUAAUUCGAUGCAACGCGAAGAGCCUUACCUGGUCUUGACAUCCUGCGAACUUUCUAGAAAUAGAUUGGUGCCUUCGGGAACGCAGUGACAGGUGCUGCAUGGCUGUCGUCAGCUCGUGUCGUGAGAUGUUGGGUUAAGUCCCGUAACGAGCGCAACCCCUAUCCUUAUUUGCCAGCACAUCAUGGUGGGAACUAUAAGGAGACUGCCGGUGAUAAACCGGAGGAAGGCGGGGACGACGUCAAGUCAUCAUGGCCCUUACGACCAGGCUACACACGUGCUACAAUGGGAAGGACAAAGAGCCGCGAAGCCGCGAGGUGUAGCUAAUCUCAUAAACCUUUUCGUAGUCCGGAUUGGAGUCUGCAACUCGACUCCAUGAAGUCGGAAUCGCUAGUAAUCGUAGAUCAGAAUGCUACGGUGAAUACGUUCCCGGGUCUUGCACACACCGCCCGU